Molecule: ribosomal RNA, 219 nt
Filed under: uncultured bacterium
Lineage: Bacteria
Description: partial 16S ribosomal RNA
Rfam family: Bacterial small subunit ribosomal RNA
Source: RNAcentral
CCAAUCUCAGUUCGGAUUGUAGGCUGCAACUCGCCUACAUGAAGUUGGAAUCGCUAGUAAUCGCGAAUCAGAAUGUCGCGGUGAAUACGUUCCCGGGUCUUGUACACACCGCCCGUCACACCACGAGAGUUUACAACACCCGAAGUCAGUGGCCUAACCGCAAGGAGGGAGCUGCCUAAGGUGGGGUAGAUGAUUGGGGUGAAGUCGUAACAAGGUACC